AAGUUUUCGCCCUCUCUCUCUCUCUCUCUCCCUUCCUGCGGAAUGGAUCUAGCUUUCUCGGUUGGUGCCUUUCUGCUCUGCUCACCAGCGCUCGACGCCAUUGACCUCCUUCAAUCUUCCUCCAGAAUUAGCUCUAACAAAGAGGAGAGGGCUUCAAACUUUUUCCACGGGAGUAAAGCCGGAAGGCAACACACCAUGAACUCAGUGCGAGGUGCGCUGGGCUGCUGGGCUAACCUCGCCGACAGUGACGCCGCGACGGAGGAGCUCGGUGCCUUUGGGGAGGGGCAGGUGUCGGGCUCGGUUCCUCCCAACUCUGGCGGUUCAAUGACUGGGGUCCGCCACGUCAUGCGGACCACUCGGCGCUCGUGCUCGCUGCGACCUCGAUCGUCCGGUCUACCUACAACGAAAGAUGAAGCCACGAAACUCUUCUUGUGUAGAGGCUCUUCCCCACGCAUAGUCUCCUUGAGGAUGUCAAUCUCGGCUGCUGCCGCACAAGACUCAGUAAUAUCAAAAUUUCUCCUGGUCGCGUGCAUGGGCACACUAACAUAGCAGGGUGCCCCAAUAUAGUGUGGUAUGUGCCCUUGAAAUCAACAACUUUGAAGGUGAGUAUUUCAGUGCAGAAAUUUUUAAGGGUGAACGAAAGUGAUUUAAAGUGUGAUGCACCCAAGUGGUUGACCCUUCUUGGCUAGUACUCCCUCUGUCCGGAAAUACUUGUCGGAGAAAUGAAUGUAUCUAGAUGUAUUUUAAUUCUAGAUACAUCCGUUUUCAUCCAUUUAUGCGACAAGUAAUUUCAGACGGAGGGAGUAUGACCCAGGACUGGUGCAUCAAUUGGUUUAUUCAUGAGCAAAGGAUUCUAAUUUUGUACAAAAUUUCGAUGUACAAACUAUUGAGUCUACUUAUACCAUCAAUGAGAACCUUGGUGAGUCAUAACCAUUGGCAAGUGGGUCCAUGGCCAGUGCGUGUCUUCCGAGGUCUGGAAUUGCCAGUGUGAUCAGAGCUAUCAAAAGAAAUUGUACCUUUCAACCACCGAAGCCUUUGGUGGACGACUCGUACCACCAUGUUGACCACAUGAGUGGCGAGCUUAUGGCACUACUUGGACUCGCACCCGCCAAUAAUUGCGAAGACGCAUGUUUAAUCAGGGAAAAUUUCCACAUUAGUAUCAUGGAAGGAGCAUGUCCCACCCAUUAUAUCUUGAAAGUUGUGUUGCCAUGCUUGGAACGACGCUGAGUGGGAUGCUUAGCAAGUGCAAAGAAGUUGCUUUCAUUGGCGAGGGUGCCACCUUUUGCGAUAGUGGCUUGUUUUGUUCUUCUUGUUUUACUCAUCGUUGUCCUUUGGCUUGGAAGACCCGGGGUUGUCCUUGUGUUUCCCGUUUAAUUAUGUCCCCCACCUAGCUCCACAUGGCUUCCUAUUGGAUUGUGUAGAUGUUGGCUAUGUCAAAGAACUUGGCUAUGGUUGGGGACAUGAUAACCUAAUUUUAUGGGUAAGGUCCAUGCUCUAGAUGCCUUUAUAAAAGGUAGUGAUGAUGUCAGUCUCACGAAUAUCUGGAAGAGAGUUUUUCUUCUAGGAAAUAUGCUGAAUAUAGUGCAUGACAAACUUGACAUCAUUCUAAGUGUAGAGCUGGAGGUCAUGCACAUUUCUAGGAUGUUUAUAGGUGCCCUAGAGAGUUUUCAAGUUGAGCAUCUCUUCCCAGUGAGAAUGCAAUACUUGGGAAAACUGGUGAUCAAGGCCCUCACCAAGUCAGCCAGAGAAGGGUAGGUUGCGGACCACUACAUAUUCGUCGAUCCAGUGGUCAUAGAGGUUGUGUGUAAUCUUCCAACGAUAUGUCACGCGACAUGUUACCCAUGUAUUUCUAGAUGUUGGAGACACAAAAUUUAAAGGGAAAAAGGUGAUGCCUACGCGAGGAUCAACGACUUUUGAACCCAUCUACGGUCAUUAUCAUGUUGACUAUCGUGGUUAUUCACUUUCGUGCCACGAUGGGUGUGAAACCAUGCUUCAAGGGUGUAGCGAGGGUCAUAGGUUAGCCCAAUAUGGUCGAUGGCGGAGCCAACACAACUUUCACUUAGCUCUUGACUGCGUCUAGCGACACAACCCACAUUAAUUAAGAGUGCCCCGCGGAUCAAAUACCGGGAGGGAAGACGACAUGGGAGAGCCACCGCCAAAUUUCCACAUAAACGUGGCCACCAGUCCUAAGGUGCUUCUAGUUUCGUGGAUCUAGACUGAUGGGGGAUGGCAUCGCCAAGCAGGCAAUUUUUGUGGAGCUUACUAGGCACAAGACCGACGAGAGAUGGAGCGAUCUUGGAAUUCAAGGACCCAUCAAGCCAGCGAUCGGUCUAGAAUAGGGAGUUGCAAUCAUCGCAUAUAGACCAAGUGGUUGAGACUCAAAAGAUUUGUCGGACCACGGGAUCGCAAUGUAGGCAAAGAGAGAUCUAAUGGCAUGAUAGUUUUGUAGAUCACAACCAUAUCUAGCGAACACAAAGUGUGAUGCAUGUUCGCUGGAGGGCACGCAUGCGAAGGCCUCCCAAGUCCAGGGGCGGUAGAUUUGAGCCUAGCUAACGAGUGAUUCUCGGUUCUGGAUGCUUUGAGCCGAUGAGAAGAGAAAAUCUUUGAUGACGCGGAUCAUUUCCUUGAGGAUGGCCUGUUAGGGUGCCAUGGCAACCAACAUGUGAACUGGCAUGGCGUAGACAACAUGUUGAACCAGCGCCAGGCCCUCGCCAUGGGAGAGACGGAGGACCUCAGGUAGUUAGGUUCACUUUGAAUUUGUCAACUAGGAGCAUGAGAGCAGAGAAGUGCCCUUUGUACAUUGAAAGAGGGAGCCCGAGGUAUUUGGUGGGGAAUCAUGUCGUCGGACAUGAUAGCAUUGUGUCGACAACCACGUAGGUCGCCUCAUUACACUGGAUGGAUUGUGGUGCAUUUUGGUGAAGUUGGUGCGCAGGCCCAAGUCUACCCCAAAGGUGUGCAGUAUCUUACGGAUGCUCAACGGAAACCGGGUGAUAGAAAAUUACCAUGUCAUUGGCAAACAUGGAGUCAUUGGAGGCUAAAUGUCAUGUGGUUGGGUGCCAAAGGAUCCCGGAGUUUUAUGCCCAUUGUAGCAGGCAAUUGAGAAUAUCAAUAACAAUGGUGAAGAGCAUGGGAUAUAAUUGAUCCCCCUAACACAGUCUAUGGUUAUGGAGAAUAGGGGGACUGGAUUGCUGCUGAUUUGCACGUGGGUAGAUGGCAAGGAUAAAACAAGGAGAUCCAUUUGCACCAUAGCGGGCAAAAAAUCCAGGUGAUGCAGGGCCUCGGGAGGAGAGGGAGGGCCAUGAGACAUAAUCAAACUUACAUGCAAUGUCAAGCUGGAGCAGGAUAUGUGGGGCCUUUAGUUGUUCUAGCUAGUGUGCAGUUUUCUAGACAAGGAAAUGUAAGUCAUCUAUCACACGGUGAUCAUAACGAGAACUUACAGGUUCAUCAGAAUGUUUGACCAGGGACUAGAUAGCUCGAGAGUGGGAUUUGCUCCUCCGAUGAUGGAGAGAUAUUCUUAGGGCCCUCUCAGUGUCACGUCAUCCAUCACCGUCUGGCCAGACAUAGGUGACUAUGUCACGGGGAUGCCGAAACACUUCAACAAGAAAGAAGAACAAAAUCGGUAAUGAGGAUAACGGUAUCGUGAGCAUGUUUAUGCCUUAGGAGGAUAUCGAUGCAUCUCCAGUUUUGUAAAGUAUCACAAAGCAAAGGGAACAUGACAUGAUAACCAAAGAUUCACUCGAAUGCCAUUUGUGUAAUCAUAGGGAUCGAUAAGGACGCCCAUGGCUCCGCUAUCGGUCAUUGAACAAAGGGGUUUCGUUCAUUUCUAUGCUUUACCGAACCUACGGGGUCACAAGUUUAAGGUAAUCAUGAUCUGCUGGGUGUUAGUAUGAUGGGAGUAUCGAGGAUUUCUUUGUGGAACUAUUUCAUGAAUAUUCUGAAUAGUUGCGAGAGGAAUCGGAAGGGUUUCGGGGUUUAUCGAGCAAUACCGUGUAUUGCAGAUAAAUAAUAUAUAGGUAGCAAACGUUUCUAGAGAAGUUAAAUUAAUAGUUAAAGGCUCUAAUAAUAGUUAGCGGGAUUUUAUAUUUAAUUUAGUAUCAAUGGGCCUUGAAAGGCCAAGAGGUACUUGGGCCACUUGCGCCCAAAUAGGUGCAGGCAGCCCCUUCCUCCUUGUAGAAGGAAGGGGAGGCUGAAUUGAGGCGGAUCCCCCCUCCUUGGUGGGCCAAGGCGCCCCCUCUCCCCUCCCUCUAACCUCUAUAUACUUGAGGACUUUGGCUCACAAGUUUUGGAGCCUCCUCUAAUUCAUCUAUCUCUAGUUCUAGUUGGCCCUAGUUGAUUAAUUAGAGCUUGACACAGUUCCUCUAAUCCUCAUAAUUAGAAGUUCUAUUUGGUUAUAAUCUCCUUUCUCUAAUUCUCCAUCAACGAUUAUCUCUAGAAGGCGAACCGCCGCUAGAUUGUGAAGACCGUACGCUUGCAACCAAGUAGGGAGGUCGUGCUUUCGGUCUUCUGUUCAAGGGAUUUUUUGUGGGCGGUUUGCGGGAUCGUUCAUCUACGGUACGAGGAACUCCAAGUACGAUCUACACCGACCCAUCUUCUUCAGCUGCACUCCGGACUCGGUAACGAACAUUGAUCCAAACCUUAUAUCCAUCUUCAUAUUGUUCCUAGGUGAUCACAGAGCGAUUUUUUUGUUUUCUACUACGUUUCCCAACAGUGGCAUCAUAAGUGGUUCUAUAAGGAGAUGCAUGUUUCAAUCUAGAUCAGAUGUGGAUGUGAGGGUUCGAUGUUCUUGCUAUACUCCCCUCGAGUGUUGCUUUGGUUCGGUUCAUUAACGACAUGAUGUGGCUUUGCACAAAGUUCUGACAAUCGAUCGGCUCUGGCUGUCGACGUUCUGCUAACAGUUCUUUGGGCUUCAUCAUAGUCAAGAAUAGUGAACCGUCGCAAACACAAGAGGAAGAUGAAGAUAUUCUAUCUUAUAGCGGGUCACGCAUCUUGACGAAGUUUAGUGCGGGGCUAGAUAUUUUGAAUUAAGUCUCUUCCCUCACACACCCUGAAAGUUAAUCUAGCAACAAGAAGUAUUGCCUUGAUAGUGUACCUAGGUAGCUGGUAUUGUCCGGAAACCCUACAAGCCACGUAAUUAAAAUUUUCCAAACCGAGUAGAGGACAUCUAACUUGGUUUUGCAUGUUUUCAUAUGAUGUGGUAUAGCCCUCAUCAUGAUAAUGGGUUUAUGUAUGAGAUGCUUACAUGUUGUAACGUUAAGUGGCAUGUGCGUCAUGGCAUGAUGGCUGGAGCCGCGAGAUUGCCACUUUAAUGUAAAAGAUGUAGAGAUAGCCUACAUGUUACAUGUGAUGGUGGCAAGUGCACAUGGAGGACCCUGGCGUGGAGAAGGUGUACCAGGCGCAAGAGGAGGUGCUAAAGUUUUUGUGCCACGACAGCAUUUUCUAAUUUUUUAUUUUGAAUA
RNA transcript from Triticum aestivum (bread wheat), 5456 nucleotides. RefSeq lists it as uncharacterized. NCBI's taxonomy places the organism in Eukaryota, Viridiplantae, Streptophyta, Magnoliopsida, Poales, Poaceae. The record is from RefSeq and is a predicted model, not a curated record. The transcript is spliced from 3 exons.